GCCCACAUAGCUCAGGUGGUAGAGCAUUUCCUUGGUAAGGAAAAGGUGACCGGUUCAAAUCCGGUUGUGGGCUUCA
Molecule: transfer RNA, 76 nt
Filed under: Coxiella-like endosymbiont
Lineage: Bacteria; Pseudomonadati; Pseudomonadota; Gammaproteobacteria; Legionellales; Coxiellaceae
Description: tRNA-Thr
Rfam family: tRNA
About the family: Transfer RNA (tRNA) molecules are approximately 80 nucleotides in length.
Source: RNAcentral